RNAcentral lists this non-coding RNA (48 nucleotides) under Schistosoma mansoni. The record is from RNAcentral. Lineage: Eukaryota; Metazoa; Platyhelminthes; Trematoda; Strigeidida; Schistosomatidae.
AUCCAAUUGACGAGUCCCAAAUUGGACGAAACGCGCGUCAAACUGGAU